AAGUGAGACGAAGUGACCGCGUUCAAACAAAGUAUCCGUGAGUUUCUGUUGGGAAAGCAUCAAGAUCUGCGGCAAACUGUACAGGAUUGCGUUCAUCUCCAAAAUCCGGGUUGCAGCCGGAGAGAGAAGUUGGCAGCCGGAAAAAGUGGACCCCAGUAAGCAGCAGAGAUCGUGGUUGUGGAUCCCACUUUUCUUCAGGUGAUUGGCAGGAGGAGGAGAGUCUGACGGAGGAGCAGAGGAAUGUUGGCAGCCAUUUAGUCUGAGCUCAACAACGGAGGAAACAUGGAUUCUUCACAAAAAAAAUGUAAACACAGCAAUGGAGUGAGAUGUCGGACCUCUGAGGAGGAUAAGGAUGGUUCGGCAACAACAGCAAAAAGAGAUGAAUCGCUCAGUUGUGAGCAAUGUGGCAAGACUUUUAUCACAGCAACAAAGCUCAGAAUUCACAAACGUAUUCACACUGUGAACAAACCAUUCAGCUGUGAUCAGUGUGGAAAGGUUUUUCCUACCAAGACUCUAUUAAAAAGACAUCAACUCAUUCACAGUGGAGUUAAACCAUUCAGCUGUGAUCAGUGUGGAAAGGCUUUUACUCAGAAGAGUCACUUAAAAAGCCAUCAACUCAUUCACAGUGGAGUUAAACCAUUCAACUGUGAUCAGUGUGGAAAGUCUUUUACUUACAAGAGUCACUUAAAAAGCCAUCAACUCAUUCACAGUGGAGUUAAACCAUUCAGCUGUGAUCAGUGUGGAAAAGCCUUUUACUCACAAGAGUCACUUAAAAAGCCAUCAACUCAUUCACAGUGGAGUUAAACCAUUCAGCUGUGAUCAGUGUGGAAAGGCUUUUAUUCAGAAGCGUAAUCUAGCAACACAUCAACUCAUUCACAGUGGAGUGAAACCAUUCAACUGUAAUCAGUGUGGAAAGGCUUUUACUCACAAGAGUACUCUAGCAAGUCAUCAACUCAUUCACAGUGGAGUUAAACC
Acanthochromis polyacanthus (spiny chromis) is the source of this 975-nucleotide long non-coding RNA. RefSeq lists it as uncharacterized. The record is from RefSeq and is a predicted model, not a curated record. The transcript has 4 exons. NCBI's taxonomy places the organism in Eukaryota, Metazoa, Chordata, Actinopteri, Pomacentridae.